Molecule: transfer RNA, 72 nt
Filed under: Pseudomonadota bacterium
Lineage: Bacteria; Pseudomonadati; Pseudomonadota
Also listed under: 3 other names
Description: tRNA-Gly
Rfam family: tRNA
About the family: Transfer RNA (tRNA) molecules are approximately 80 nucleotides in length. Their secondary structure includes four short double-helical elements and three loops (D, anti-codon, and T loops).
Source: RNAcentral
GCGGGCGUAUUUCAGUGGUAGAAUGUUAGCUUCCCAAGCUGAAGGUCGCGGGUUCGAAUCCCGUCGCCCGCU